UAGAUCGGAAGCGAGAAUGUUGACAUGAGUAGCGACAAACAGGGUGAGAGACCCUGUCGCCGAAAGUCCAGGGUUCCUGCUUAAAGCUAAUCUGAGCAGGGUAAGCCGGCCCCUAAGGCGAGGCCGAAAGGCGUAGUCGAUGGGAACCAGGUUAAUAUUCCUGGGCCAGGAGGAUGUGACGGAUCUCGACGGUAGUUUGCCCUUAUCGGAUUGGGUGAGCUGCUUAGAGGUUCCUGGAAAUAGCCCUCCACAAGACCUACCCCAAACCGACACAGGUGGACUGGUAGAGGAUACCAAGGCGCUUGAGAGAACCACAUCAAAGGAACUCGGCAAAAUGCUCCCGUAAGUUCGCGAGAAGGGAGCCCCGUCUGUAGGCAACUAUGGGCGGGGGGCACAAACCAGGGGGUGGCGACUGUUUACUUAAAACACAGGGCUGUGCGAAGCCGUAAGGCGACGUAUACAGUCUGACGCCUGCCCGGUGCUGGAAGGUUAAAAGGAGGGGUGCAAGCUCUGAAUUGAAGCCCCAGUAAACGGCGGCCGUAACAAUAACGGUCCUAAGGUAGCGAAAUUCCUUGUCGGGUAAGUUCCGACCUGCACGAAUGGCGUAACGAUCUCCCCGCUGUCUCUGAUGUGGACUCAGCGAAAUUGAACUGUGUGUCAAGAUGCACACUUCCCGCGGUUAGACGGAAAGACCCCAUGAACCUUUACUCCAGCUUUGCACUGGCAUCAGGAUAGUGAUGUGCAGGAUAGGUGGUAGGCAUCGAAGCAGAGACGCCAGUUUCUGUGGAGCCUCCCUUGAGAUACCACCCUUCGCACUCUUGAUGUCUAACCGCGGCCCGUUAUCCGGGUCCGGGACCAUGCAUGGUGGGGAGUUUGACUGGGGCGGUCGCCUCCCAAACAGUAACGGAGGCGCGCGAAGGUUGGCUCAGAGCGGUCGGAAAUCGCUCGUUGAGUGCAAUGGCAGAAGCCAGCCUGACUGCAAGACUGACAAGUCGAGCAGAGACGAAAGUCGGCCAUAGUGAUCCGGUGGUCCCAAGUGGGAGGGCCAUCGCUCAACGGAUAAAAGGUACUCUGGGGAUAACAGGCUGAUGAUGCCCAAGAGUCCAUAUCGACGGCAUCGUUUGGCACCUCGAUGUCGGCUCAUCUCAUCCUGGGGCUGGAGCAGGUCCCAAGGGUAUGGCUGUUCGCCAUUUAAAGAGGUACGUGAGCUGGGUUUAGAACGUCGUGAGACAGUUCGGUCCCUAUCUGCCGUGGGUGUAGGAGACUUGAGAAGAGUUGCCCCUAGUACGAGAGGACCGGGGUGAACGUUCCACUGGUGGACCAGUUGUCGUGCCAACGGCAGUGCUGGGUAGCUAUGAACGGACAGGAUAGCCGCUGAAGGCAUCUAAGCGGGAAGCCCCCUUCAAAACAAGGUCUCCCUUGAGAGCCGUGGAAGACCACCACGUCGAUAGGCCAGAGGUGUAAGUGCAGCAGUGCAUUCAGCUGACUGGUACUAAUUGCU
This 1501-nucleotide ribosomal RNA is filed under the name metagenome. RNAcentral describes it as "bacterial LSU rRNA". It matches the Rfam family "Bacterial large subunit ribosomal RNA", at positions 1278 to 2909 of the family's 2925-position model. The record is from RNAcentral.